UUGGUGUUUGUUUGGUAGGGGGGGUAACAAUCUGCGCGAACCUGGCCCUUUAAAUUACCUCCACAAUCAGUGUAGACGAGACAAGCGAAGUUGCCUGCAGGUCCCUGAGCCAGCUUUAGUCUCCAGCCUCUCCAUCAUCCAGAAUUUUCUCCUUUUACUUGGCACGAU
Long non-coding RNA from Sinocyclocheilus anshuiensis, 168 nucleotides. RefSeq lists it as uncharacterized. The record is from RefSeq and is a predicted model, not a curated record. NCBI's taxonomy places the organism in Eukaryota, Metazoa, Chordata, Actinopteri, Cypriniformes, Cyprinidae. The transcript is spliced from 3 exons.